AGGCGGUUCUCUAAGAGGCCCGCUAUCGGAAUGGGUACAAUUUAAACCCUUUAACGAGGACCUAUGAGAGGGCAAGUCUGGUGCCAGCAGCCGCGGUAAUUCCAGCUCUCAAGGUGUAUAUCGCCAUUGCUGCGGUUAAAAAGCUCGUAGUUGGAUCUGCGCCUUCGGACUCGGUCCUCCCAACGGGUGCGAACUGAGCUCCAAGGCUACUACUGCUGGUUUUCCCUUGAUGCUCUUCACUGGGUGUCUUGGGUGGCUAGCGAGUUUACUUUGAAAAAAUUAGAGAGCUCAAAACAGGCUAUUGCCUGAAUACCGGUGCAUGGAAUAAUAGAAUAGGAUCUCGGUCCUAUUUUGUUGGUUUUCGGAACUGAGAUAAUGGUUAAGAGGGACAGACGGGGGCAUUCGUAUCGCUGCGUGAGAGGUGAAAUUCUUGGACCGCAGCGAGACGCCCAACUGCGAAAGCAUUUGCCAAGAAUGUCCUCGUUAAUCAAGAACGAAAGUCAGAGGUUCGAAGGCGAUCAGAUACCGCCCUAGUUCUGACCGUAAACGAUGCCAACUAGCGAUCCGCCGGUGGUAAUUACGCCCCGGCGGGGAGCUUCCCGGAAACGAAAGUCUUCCGGUUCCGGGGGAAGUAUGGUUGCAAAGCUGAAACUUAAAGGAAUUGACGGAAGGGCACCACCAGGAGUGGAGCUUGCGGCUUAAUUUGACCCAACACGUGAAAACUCACCCGGCCCGGACACCGUAAGGAUUGACAGAUUGAGAGCUCUUUCUUGAUUCGGUGGUUGGUGGUGCAUGGCCGUUCUUAGUUGGUGGAGCGAUUUGUCUGGUUUAUUCCGAUAACGAACGAGACUCUGGCCUACUAACUAGUGACAGAAUUAUUGCUGUUCUGGUUACUUCUUAGAGGGACAAGUGGUGUUCAGCCACACGAAAUUGAGCAAUAACAGGUCUGUGAUGCCCUUAGAUGUCCGGGGCUGCACGCGUGCUACACUGGAGGAAACAGCAUGCAAAACCAUUGCCGAGAGGCAUUGGUAAACCCGAGAAAAUCUUCCGUGAUCGGGAUCGGGAAUUGCAAUUAUUUCCCUUGAACGAGGAAUUCCCAGUAAGUGUGGGUCAUCAGCUCGCGCUGAUUACGUCCCUGCCCUUUGUACACACCGCCCGUCGCUGCCCGGGACUGAGCCGUUUCGAGAAAAGCGGGGACUGCUGCUGUUGGGGCUUUCGGGCCUUGGCUUCGGUGGAAACCGCUU
This 1244-nucleotide ribosomal RNA is filed under the name metagenome. RNAcentral's name for it is "SSU rRNA". It matches the Rfam family "Eukaryotic small subunit ribosomal RNA", at positions 483 to 1759 of the family's 1831-position model. The record is from RNAcentral.